Carlito syrichta (Philippine tarsier) is the source of this 365-nucleotide long non-coding RNA. RefSeq lists it as uncharacterized. The transcript is spliced from 2 exons. NCBI's taxonomy places the organism in Eukaryota, Metazoa, Chordata, Mammalia, Primates, Tarsiidae. The record is from RefSeq and is a predicted model, not a curated record.
CUAGGACUUCCAGAGAGAAACACAGCCCUGCCGACAGCCCGGUGAAACCCACUUUGGACUUCUGACCUCCAGAAAUGGCAGCUGAUCCCUCUGCUGCGGGACAGCCCCCGUCCCUUCACAGAACCCGCACCUAAGAGAGAUUCACCCACACCAUCGGCCUGCAGAACUCUCUUCUGUACUAGACCCUUUUGUCUUUUGGCAGAUGACUGGUCUACCAAAUGAAUGAGUGAAUCGCAUUGGAUGUCUACGUGAGAUUAAAACAAAGUCAAGUGCUAAGUGUGUAUUAAGCAUGGUCCUAAUGCCAUAAAAUAGACAGCUAUAUUCUGAUACGUAAGCUCAAAGAAAUAAAAAAGAUGAGAAGGAAA